GGGUUGUGAGGUUAAGCGACUAAGCGUACACGGUGGAUGCCCUGGCAGUCAGAGGCGAUGAAGGGCGUGCUAAUCUGCGAUAAGCGCCGGUAAGGUGAUAUGAACCGUUAUAACCGGCGAUACCCGAAUGGGGAAACCCAGUGUGAUUCGUCACACUAUCAUUAACUGAAUCCAUAGGUUAAUGAGGCGAACCGGGGGAACUGAAACAUCUAAGUACCCCGAGGAAAAGAAAUCAACCGAGAUUCCCCCAGUAGCGGCGAGCGAACGGGGAGGAGCCCAGAGCCUGAAUCAGCAUGUGUGUUAGUGGAAGCGUCUGGAAAGUCGCGCGAUACAGGGUGACAGCCCCGUACACAAAAGCGCAUGUGUUGUGAGCUCGAUGAGUAGGGCGGGACACGUGGUAUCCUGUCUGAAUAUGGGGGGACCAUCCUCCAAGGCUAAAUACUCCUGACUGACCGAUAGUGAACCAGUACCGUGAGGGAAAGGCGAAAAGAACCCCGGCGAGGGGAGUGAAAAAGAACCUGAAACCGUGUACGUACAAGCAGUGGGAGCACCCUUCGGGGUGUGACUGCGUACCUUUUGUAUAAUGGGUCAGCGACUUAUAUUCUGUAGCAAGGUUAACCGUAUAGGGGAGCCGGAGGGAAACCGAGUCUUAAUUGGGCGUUAAGUUGCAGGGUAUAGACCCGAAACCCGGUGAUCUAGCCAUGGGCAGGUUGAAGGUUGGGUAACACUAACUGGAGGACCGAACCGACUAAUGUUGAAAAAUUAGCGGAUGACCUGUGGCUGGGGGUGAAAGGCCAAUCAAACCGGGAGAUAGCUGGUUCUCCCCGAAAGCUAUUUAGGUAGCGCCUCGUGAAUUCAUCUCCGGGGGUAGAGCACUGUUUCGGCUAGGGGGCCAUCCCGGCUUACCAACCCGAUGCAAACUGCGAAUACCGGAGAAUG
RNAcentral lists this ribosomal RNA (939 nucleotides) under Salmonella enterica. RNAcentral describes it as "bacterial LSU rRNA". It matches the Rfam family "Bacterial large subunit ribosomal RNA", at positions 1 to 972 of the family's 2925-position model. The record is from RNAcentral. Lineage: Bacteria; Pseudomonadati; Pseudomonadota; Gammaproteobacteria; Enterobacterales; Enterobacteriaceae.